RNAcentral lists this ribosomal RNA (501 nucleotides) under uncultured bacterium. RNAcentral's name for it is "partial 16S ribosomal RNA". It matches the Rfam family "Bacterial small subunit ribosomal RNA", at positions 30 to 523 of the family's 1533-position model. The record is from RNAcentral.
AUUGAACGCUGGCGGCAGGCUUAACACAUGCAAGUCGAGCGGAGAUGAGGUGCUUGCACCUUAUCUUAGCGGCGGACGGGUGAGUAAUGCUUAGGAAUCUGCCUAUUAGUGGGGGACAACAUUCCGAAAGGAAUGCUAAUACCGCAUACGUCCUACGGGAGAAAGCAGGGGAUCUUCGGACCUUGCGCUAAUAGAUGAGCCUAAGUCGGAUUAGCUAGUGGGUGGGGUAAAGGCCUACCAAGGCGACGAUCUGUAGCGGGGCUGGGAGGAUGAGCCGCCACACUGGGACUGAGACACGGCCCAGACUCCUACGGGAGGCAGCAGUGGGGAAUAUUGGACAAUGGGGGAAACCCUGAUCCAGCCAUGCCGCGUGUGUGAAGAAGGCCUUAUGGUUGUAAAGCACUUUAAGCGAGGAGGAGGCUACUGAGACUAAUACUCUUGGAUAGUGGACGUUACUCGCAGAAUAAGCACCGGCUAACUCUGUGCCAGCCGCCGCCGUAA